CGUCCUUUCUUUCGGAGCUCUCCGCUGCUCUUAGCUGAGCGGUGGAGGGAGACGGAUCGUUUACUUUGAAAAAAUCAGAGUGUUUCAAGCAGGCAGCUCGCUCUUGCAUGGAUUAGCAUGGGAUAAUGAAAUAGGACUCUGGUGCUAUUUUGUUGGUUUCGAACACCGGAGUAAUGGUCAACAGGGACAGUCAGGGGCACUCGUAUUCCGCCGAGAGAGGUGAAAUUCUCAGACCAGCGGAAGACGAACCACUGCGAAAGCAUUUGCCAGGGAUGUUUUCACUGAUCAAGAACGAAAGUUAGGGGAUCGAAGACGAUCAGAUACCGUCGUAGUCUUAACCAUAAACCAUGCCGACUAGGGAUUGGGGGCUGUUCCUUUUGUGACUCCCUCAGCACCUUUCGGGAAACUAAAGUCUUUGGGUUCCGGGGGGAGUAUGGUCGCAAGGCUGAAACUUAAAGGAAUUGACGGAAGGGCACCACCAGGAGUGGAGCCUGCGGCUUAAUUUGACUCAACACGGGGAAACUUACCAGGUCCAGACAUUGUGAGGAUUGACAGAUUGAGAGCUCUUUCUUGAUUCGAUGGGUGGUGGUGCAUGGCCGUUCUUAGUUGGUGGAGUGAUUUGUCUGGUUAA
This is a ribosomal RNA of 631 nucleotides. It matches the Rfam family "Eukaryotic small subunit ribosomal RNA", at positions 692 to 1322 of the family's 1831-position model.